UCCAAACAGGGGCAUCAUGGUCCGUGCCUUACCAAGCAUGGAUAAUUGGGAAUGAGGAAAGGCAAUCGCCCCUGCCUCAGCCGCCCCCGCGACUGUGAGCGGAGAGCGUCCUUGCAAAAGCCACUGGGGUUUCCCCUGGGAAGGAGCAAGUCGCCGUGACCCGCGAGCCAGGAGACCAGCCGUGAUGAACGAAAACAA
Molecule: non-coding RNA, 198 nt
Filed under: Cognatishimia maritima
Lineage: Bacteria; Pseudomonadati; Pseudomonadota; Alphaproteobacteria; Rhodobacterales; Paracoccaceae
Source: RNAcentral